AGCUCAGGAUGAUACUGCUGGCGGCGUGUCUUCAUACAUGCAAGUCGAGCGGACUUAAAAAGCUUGCUUUUUAAGUAGCGGCGGACGGGUGAGUAACACGUGGGCAACCUGCCUGUAAGACUGGGAUAACUUCGGGAAACCGGAGCUAAUACCGGAUAAUCCUUUUCUACUCAUGUAGAAAAGCUGAAAGACGGUUUACGCUGUCACUUACAGAUGGGCCCGCGGCGCAUUAGCUAGUUGGUGAGGUAACGGCUCACCAAGGCGACGAUGCGUAGCCGACCUGAGAGGGUGAUCGGCCACACUGGGACUGAGACACGGCCCAGACUCCUACGGGAGGCAGCAGUAGGGAAUCUUCCGCAAUGGACGAAAGUCUGACGGAGCAACGCCGCGUGAGUGAUGAAGGUUUUCGGAUCGUAAAACUCUGUUGUUAGGGAAGAACAAGUACGAGAGUAACUGCUCGUACCUUGACGGUACCUAACCAGAAAGCCACGGCUAACUACGUGCCAGCAGCCGCGGUAAUACGUAGGUGGCAAGCGUUGUCCGGAAUUAUUGGGCGUAAAGCGCGCGCAGGCGGUCCUUUAAGUCUGAUGUGAAAGCCCACGGCUCAACCGUGGAGGGUCAUUGGAAACUGGGGGACUUGAGUGCAGAAGAGAAGAGUGGAAUUCCACGUGUAGCGGUGAAAUGCGUAGAGAUGUGGAGGAACACCAGUGGCGAAGGCGACUCUUUGGUCUGUAACUGACGCUGAGGCGCGAAAGCGUGGGGAGCAAACAGGAUUAGAUACCCUGGUAGUCCACGCCGUAAACGAUGAGUGCUAAGUGUUAGAGGGUUUCCGCCCUUUAGUGCUGCAGCAAACGCAUAAGCACUCCGCCCUGGAGACGCGGACCGUCG
RNAcentral lists this ribosomal RNA (888 nucleotides) under Niallia nealsonii. RNAcentral describes it as "bacterial SSU rRNA". It matches the Rfam family "Bacterial small subunit ribosomal RNA", at positions 21 to 873 of the family's 1533-position model. Lineage: Bacteria; Bacillati; Bacillota; Bacilli; Caryophanales; Bacillaceae. The record is from RNAcentral.